UACGGAGGGGGCUAGCGUUGUUCGGAAUUACUGGGCGUAAAGCGCACGUAGGCGGCUUGGUAAGUCAGAGGUGAAAGCCUGGAGCUCAACUCCAGAACUGCCUUUGAGACUGCUUGGCUUGAAUCACGGAGAGGCGGGUGGAAUUCCGAGUGUAGAGGUGAAAUUCGUAGAUAUUCGGAAGAACACCAGUGGCGAAGGCGGCCCGCUGGACGUGUAUUGACGCUGAGGUGCGAAAGCGUGGGGAGCAAACAGG
RNAcentral lists this ribosomal RNA (253 nucleotides) under uncultured bacterium. RNAcentral describes it as "partial 16S ribosomal RNA". It matches the Rfam family "Bacterial small subunit ribosomal RNA", at positions 524 to 776 of the family's 1533-position model. The record is from RNAcentral.